GGGGUGGUGGCGCAGUUGGCUAGCGCGUAGGUCUCAUAGCUAAAACGUCAGUUAUCCUGAGGUCGAGAGUUCGAGCCUCUCACCUCA
Molecule: transfer RNA, 87 nt
Filed under: Oryza meridionalis
Lineage: Eukaryota; Viridiplantae; Streptophyta; Magnoliopsida; Poales; Poaceae
Rfam family: tRNA
About the family: Transfer RNA (tRNA) molecules are approximately 80 nucleotides in length. Their secondary structure includes four short double-helical elements and three loops (D, anti-codon, and T loops).
Source: Rfam by way of RNAcentral